Mus musculus (house mouse) is the source of this 657-nucleotide long non-coding RNA. RefSeq lists it as uncharacterized. The record is from RefSeq and is a predicted model, not a curated record. The transcript has 4 exons. Lineage: Eukaryota; Metazoa; Chordata; Mammalia; Rodentia; Muridae.
UUAGAUUAUAUGAUGGACAACUGACUGGCUGUGCUCUUUCCACUAAAAUAAGUAAGAAAAUGUACAAUUUGAGCCAUUGAACAAGGAUGCUGGAACUUACCAUAAAUACUUACGAUAAAUAUCUAGAUAUGAAAUGAAUUUAUAUCAAUUAACAGGAAGGUUCAUCACCCAGAAAUGGUAAACAGGUAGGAAACUGCCUGCCUGUAUUCUCUUGUUUCAGCAGCUAGAAGCCAGUGGUGCUGCUCCAAGAUCCCAGUGCUGUACUGUAGCCAGGGAGGACUUCUGCUCAGUAGGCUCCGCUGGGAGCUUCCCUGUCAACACCUGUCUCUCUUCCCAGCAUUCCCAGCAGCACCAUGAGGGAAUUCGUGACAACUGCUGCUUCUCAUCUAGGGCAGAGAGAAGUCAGAUUCUCUAGCUACACACACUGCCUAGGAGUUACCAACGUCUUCAUAACGCGCAGGAUCUACGUAGACGUGAAGGCAUUUUCAACAACAAGUCAAUCUAAGACAUUUGAGCAACUGUCUUUCUCAUGAAGCAACACAGCUGCUGGCAAGAAGACACUGCUCAGGCAGUGCAGGCCCAGGGUAAGAUCUGCCUCCAGAGUCUCUACAACCCACUGCUGGCCACAGUCGAGCUGUGUAGCUCUGCCCUGCACGG